This 200-nucleotide long non-coding RNA is filed under the name Homo sapiens (human). RNAcentral describes it as "HSALNT0121959". The record is from RNAcentral. Lineage: Eukaryota; Metazoa; Chordata; Mammalia; Primates; Hominidae.
CCAAAGUUCACUGUGUAGGUCUCUACUGUUGUGAAGGGGAAUGCCUGGCCAGUGGCUAUCUCCUCCUCUUUCUCCUCCUCCUCCUCUUCCUCAAACUCGGGCUCCAACUGGGUCUCAAACUCGGGCUCCACCUUGGUCCCAAACUCGGGCUCCACCUCGGUCCCAAACUCUGUCACCACCUCUGUGUAGGUCUCAGUCUC